This is a non-coding RNA of Pseudomonas sp. ABAC61, 180 nucleotides long. NCBI's taxonomy places the organism in Bacteria, Pseudomonadati, Pseudomonadota, Gammaproteobacteria, Pseudomonadales, Pseudomonadaceae. The record is from Rfam.
ACCCCGGUAUUAUUGCUGUUAUGGGUUUGAUCCGAGCUUAGCCUUGUUCAUUUUUUUACACAACCCCCCCGUAAAAGAUAUGACACGGCCCGCUCAAGCGUGGGGUGGCCGUGGCUUCCGAGGCCCGAAAAGCGCCCUGUUUUGCCGCAAAAUCGCCCUGCCAGCCCUUUAUUAGGGCAU